GCCCGAUUAGCUCAGUGGUAGAGCGCGUCACUCGUAAUGAUGAGGUCGGUUGUUCGAAUCAGCCAUCGGGCA
This 72-nucleotide transfer RNA is filed under the name Stereum hirsutum FP-91666 SS1. Its description in RNAcentral is "tRNA-Thr (CGT) (tRNA-Thr-CGT-1-1, tRNA-Thr-CGT-1-2)". It matches the Rfam family "tRNA". From Rfam's summary of the family: Transfer RNA (tRNA) molecules are approximately 80 nucleotides in length. The record is from RNAcentral. Lineage: Eukaryota; Fungi; Basidiomycota; Agaricomycetes; Russulales; Stereaceae.